GUAGGCUACGGGGACAUGGUCCCAGUGACCAUCGGGGGCAAGAUUGUGGGUUCCCUGUGCGCCAUCGCUGGUGUGCUGACCAUUGCCCUCCCCGUGCCAGUCAUUGUGUCCAAC
This is a non-coding RNA of Danio rerio (zebrafish), 114 nucleotides long. The record is from Rfam. NCBI's taxonomy places the organism in Eukaryota, Metazoa, Chordata, Actinopteri, Cypriniformes, Danionidae.